Long non-coding RNA from Bubalus bubalis (water buffalo), 1190 nucleotides. RefSeq lists it as uncharacterized. NCBI's taxonomy places the organism in Eukaryota, Metazoa, Chordata, Mammalia, Artiodactyla, Bovidae. The transcript is spliced from 8 exons. The record is from RefSeq and is a predicted model, not a curated record.
CCCCAGAGCAGUCCCACACAGCCACCCUGAAGUAUGUUUGAAGAGAAGCCAAAGGGUUAAAAUAAUCACGCUAGUAUUUGAAAUUUUGCCUCUACCACCAGCUUCGUGAUUCUGAUUAAAAAAAUUUGAUUCCUAGUAUCUCCACUGUAGAGUAAAAAUAAUGGCAAGAUUUGUCUCAUAGGGCUGAUAAGGGAUGAAAUGAACAGGAACCAGUGAUCAUUUUGACUCAAGCCAGGUGAUGACGGACAGUACCAGGUGAAUUCAAUAUUUAACUAAUUGAGGAGGUAGCAGAAGCUGCAGAGGAUCAUGGGAUAGUCGGCAAAUACAGGCUUUGCCACCAGGCUGACUGCGAAUGUUGCAAGUUUGGGACUCUUCACUGAAGAUUUUGCUUAGGAAAGGUACUCUAAUUCUUGACUGAGAGAUUUACUUGGAAAAUGAGAAAUUCCUGGACUACACUACUUGCCUAAAGUUUCUUCUGGUUGGAGUCAGUCCUUAAGGCUCUAAGAUUUGAAGGAUUUCUCCACCUCUCUGACACUUGUGCAGACAUCAUAGGUCCUGGUUGCACCAGUGGCGGGCACCAGGAAAUCUUGGUGUGGAAUUUUUGGUCCCCUUGGAAUGGAUUCUGAAAAUACAAGAGAGUUGAAAUAUGUCUCCUCAAGAAGGAAAUUGAAUAUGUAAAACUUCCAGCAAAGAAAAUUCCAGAGUAAAAUGAAGCCACAGUUUAUGUAAAGAAGACUUGCAAUUUUAACUUGGCCUGAGCAGUGAGCACACGGAUCUCUAACAUCCUGUCAACGUAAUUGCAGGGUCACAGCCAUCAGAUGGAAAUGUACCCCAAAGCAGGGAUUAAAGUACCAUGAGCUUAGAAACUCUGCAAGCUAUAAGAUCUGCCCCAAGGUUCUCACCCAACUGAGUUUUGUGGAGUGAAAUUUGAAGAUGCACAGUUCAGCUACCAAAAGAGAUUGUAAAGAAAUUGCAUUAAGGAAGAUCUAAGUUCAUGUUCUACACUGAAGUUCCUCAGCCUCAGUACUAUUGACAGGGAGAUUAUUUUUAUUGCAGUCUCUACAUCAUUCCAGUGGUCAUGUAUGGAUGUGAGAAUUGGACUGUGAAGAAAGCUGAGUGCCGAAGAAUUGAUGUUUUUGAGCUGUGGUGUUGGAGAAGACUCUUGAGAGUCCCUUGGACUGCAAGGAGAU